GAUGAACGCUGGCGGCGUGCCUAAUACAUGCAAGUCGAGCGAACAGACGAGGAGCUUGCUCCUCUGACGUUAGCGGCGGACGGGUGAGUAACACGUGGAUAACCUACCUAUAAGACUGGGAUAACUUCGGGAAACCGGAGCUAAUACCGGAUAAUAUAUUGAACCGCAUGGUUCAAUAGUGAAAGACGGUUUUGCUGUCACUUAUAGAUGGAUCCGCGCCGCAUUAGCUAGUUGGUAAGGUAACGGCUUACCAAGGCAACGAUGCGUAGCCGACCUGAGAGGGUGAUCGGCCACACUGGAACUGAGACACGGUCCAGACUCCUACGGGAGGCAGCAGUAGGGAAUCUUCCGCAAUGGGCGAAAGCCUGACGGAGCAACGCCGCGUGAGUGAUGAAGGUCUUCGGAUCGCAAAACUCUGUUAUUAGGGAAGAACAAAUGUGUAAGUAACUAUGCACGUCUUGACGGCACCUAAUCAGAAAGCCACGGCUAACUACGUG
Molecule: ribosomal RNA, 497 nt
Filed under: uncultured bacterium
Lineage: Bacteria
Description: partial 16S ribosomal RNA
Rfam family: Bacterial small subunit ribosomal RNA
Source: RNAcentral